Long non-coding RNA from Rhincodon typus (whale shark), 2350 nucleotides. RefSeq lists it as uncharacterized. The record is from RefSeq and is a predicted model, not a curated record. NCBI's taxonomy places the organism in Eukaryota, Metazoa, Chordata, Chondrichthyes, Orectolobiformes, Rhincodontidae. The transcript is spliced from 3 exons.
UGAAGUUUUGAAAAAUCAUUUGAGAUGGAAUUUUGAAGACAAAUGAUUCAGUAAACGUCAAGUGAUCCUGGUGUUACAGCAAAAAACCAGAAACACCACAGAUUCUUCAGAAAACAUGAAGGAUUGUGCGUGCUGGCCCUCAAGGUUUGCCAGACCAGAAAGUGUCAGCUAUAUGUUGGCCCUCUGCCUUUGACAAUUGCUGUAUCACACACCAUCCUGAUUUAGAAAUAUGUCAUAUUCACUGUUGCUGUGUUAAAAUCUUGGAACAACUCCUUGAUAAUACUUUGGGUGUGUCUGCACCACAUGGACUACAGCAAUUUAAGAAGGCACUAACCAUGUAAGAACAAUUGGGGAUCAUAGAAUCCCUACAGAAUGGAAGCAGGCCAUUUGGCCCAUCGAAUGCACACCUCCAAAGAACAUCCCAACCAGACCCAACCCUAUGUUUCCCAUGGCUAAUCCACUUAUCCUGCACAUCCCUCGGCGCUAUGAGCAAUUUAGCAUAGCCAAUUCCACCCAGCCUGCACAUCUUCGGACUGUAGGAGCAAACCAGAGUACCCUGAGGAAAUCCACGCAGAUAUAGGGAGAAUGUGCAAACUCCACGUAGCCAGUCGUCUGAGUGUGGAAUCAAACCUGGGUCCCUCGUGCUAACCACAGAGCCAUCGUGCCUUGUCAGUGAUGUGCAUAUUUCCUAAAUGAUUAAAGGAAUAAAAUUUCUAUUUUCACUGUAUUGCAAUACUGAUUAUUGAAUUGCGUGUUUAGUUGACUUUUAGACAAGGUUGUGAGGUUUGCAACAGAUAACGAAGACUGGUUGCCUUAUCAGUCCAGUUAUACAAAUUUCUUUUUAAAACAUAUAAAUAAUAAGUUUUGUAAUUUUAUAUAAACAAAAGCUUUAUUAAGCUGUAAUUUUUUUAUGAAUGGUAUAUAAACUGUGUCCAUUGUAACCUUAGUACUAUAAUUCAACUUUUCAAUCCAUUCAUAGCUAUCACAGGUGAUGGUUUUAAAAUUAAUCAUGGUCCAAACUUGCAGAGAAACUAAAAUUGCUGUGCUGUAUCACUGGUUGCAUGUGGUGUGAUGUAUACAUUACCUUUAUCAAUACAGGGCGAGUUCCUCAAAUAUACUUAAGCAUGAAUAGUUAAUUACAUAAUUUUGAAGCACUUAUCUUUUUGUCCUCCAGAUUUUAUGUGUUGCAAUAUGAUGAGUUUGAGAUUAUUGCUUCUUAUACCCAAUAUUGAUACAGAACUAUCCAAAUGCAUUAUUCAGUCACAUUUACCGUAUUGUAGUUCCACCCGACACCUUCCAUAACUUGCUCAAUCCCUGCAUGAUAGCAUUUAGUUCACGUUCUGCUGACAAAAGACAUUUUCACAAGCUGUGUGUGGAUCCUCGAUAUGCAAACACCAAGUGCCACUACGUACUGAGAUUCUACCUGUAUGCACAGUUGUAAAGGAUGGGACUGGCCUCAUUGCUGCGGAAUGCUGCAAAUAGUUGGACCUUUCUGUGUCAUCUGUCCCUCAUGGAGAUGUUUGCAAAGAAAUCCGCCUUUGGCCAUAUGUCCAUCAGGAAGUGGUCAGCACGUAGCAUCCUUGAGACCCUGAGGGGAAAGGAGAGGAUGGAUCUUGUCACAUGGUUCAUGAGCAGACUGUUAAAGUCAUUUGGCAGAAUGCCUCAUCACCAGAACUUUCCAACAAGCACCAAGAUAUCGCAUGACUGAUGGUGAGAGGGGCACUACCUGUAAGAUCCUUCUUCUGCACCUGGUCUGUCUGCACCACCCGCACAUCGCCCUUGAAGUGGCUGCAAGUGAUAGAGACUGUCUGGAGAAAGAUGCAGUGGUUUUUGUCGAGUUCAUUCCAAGCACCUCCAUGAUGCAGGACUCUGCGCUCUACAGUUUGUUCCCUAGGAUGCACACCAAGAUAAACAUCGACUGUGCUUGGACGACCAUCAAUUCAGAGAAAAAUGCUCUUUGCUCUGGCCGAAACUUGUUGGUCUUUCCAGAGCAUGGAGUUGACCCUGACGGAAUGUUGCAGACUGGCACAUUCCAAGGUCCAAGGCUAUGUGCUGAGGGACACACUAAAGCUUGGGGCAGCUGCUGCCAAGGCACAGUAGGGAAAGACCACUGUGUGAGGUCUUUCUGCUGAAGUUAAAAGGGGGUCUGUUCAGUUAACAGACCCUCCCAUACCUCAAAUAUAUGUAAAUCUGAUCUUGAGGAAGUAAUAGAUGACUUUGGUUUGUUUGAUAGAGUGAAACUCCAGUGCUGUUCAUGCUACUGUACAGAACUAAACUGCUUUUGCAGCUAUGUAUUUAUAUAUAUAUAUGUAUAUUUCAUAAAUAAAGCAUAUUUUUGAAAUAAAAAAAA